CCUACGGGAGGCAGCAGUGAGGAAUAUUGGUCAAUGGACGAGAGUCUGAACCAGCCAAGUAGCGUGAAGGAUGACUGCCCUAUGGGUUGUAAACUUCUUUUAUAUGGGAAUAAAACGUUCCACGUGUGGGAUUUUGUAUGUACCAUAUGAAUAAGGAUCGGCUAACUCCGUGCCAGCAGCCGCGGUAAUACGGAGGAUCCGAGCGUUAUCCGGAUUUAUUGGGUUUAAAGGGAGCGUAGGUGGAUUGUUAAGUCAGUUGUGAAAGUUUGCGGCUCAACCGUAAAAUUGCAGUUGAAACUGGCAGUCUUGAGUACAGUAGAGGUGGGCGGAAGUCGUGGUGUAGCGGUGAAAUGCUUAGAGAUCACGAAGAACUCCGAUUGCGAAGGCAGUUCACUGGACUGCAACUGACACUGAGGCUCGAAAGUGUGGGUAUCAAACAGGAUUAGAUACCCCUGUAGUC
This 460-nucleotide ribosomal RNA is filed under the name uncultured bacterium. Its description in RNAcentral is "partial 16S ribosomal RNA". It matches the Rfam family "Bacterial small subunit ribosomal RNA", at positions 338 to 795 of the family's 1533-position model. The record is from RNAcentral.